CCUACGGGUGGCAGCAGUGGGGAAUAUUGCACAAUGGGGGAAACCCUGCUGCAGCGACGCCGCGUGAGUGAAGAAGUAUUUCGUUAUGUAAAGCUCUAUCAGCAGGGAAGAAAAUGACGGUACCUGAGUAAGAAGCCCCGGCUAACUACGUGCCAGCAGCCGCGGUAAUACGUAGGGGGCAAGCGUUAUCCGGAUUUACUGGGUGUAAAGGGAGCGUAGACGGCAGUGCAAGUCUGGAGUGAAAGGCCGGGGCUCAACCCCGGGACUGCUCUGGAAACUGUGCGGCUGGAGUGCAGGAGAGGUAAGUGGAAGUCCUAGUGUAGCGGUGAAAUGCGUAGAUAUUAGGAGGAACACCAGGGGCGAAGGCGGCUUGCUGGACUGUAACUGACGUUGAGGCUCGAAAGCGUGGGGAGCAAACAGGAUUAGAUACCCGAGUAGUC
This 440-nucleotide ribosomal RNA is filed under the name uncultured bacterium. Its description in RNAcentral is "partial 16S ribosomal RNA". It matches the Rfam family "Bacterial small subunit ribosomal RNA", at positions 338 to 795 of the family's 1533-position model. The record is from RNAcentral.